CUUGGUGGAGAGCGUAAGUUCUCAGAGCUUUUUGGUUCAGGUUUGGUCUUUGGCUUGGAUUGGUUUGGUUGGGUUGGCAGCGUGGCCGUCAGUGGAGAGUGUAAAUUCUCCCUGGCAGUGGUGACAGACGUGUCCUAAUCCAAAGGCCACCCCUCUUAAGGGACGCCUUAGAGGAUUCGGGGGGGGGCAAAAGUGCCCCCAGUUGGUAGAGGGACAAGAGUGCCCUCGUUUGUACUCUGCUGCCAACCCGUUUGGUUUCACCGGCAAUUCUUUCUCUCAGAUUGGAUUCAGUCUGUCUUUAAUCUUUGACUCUGAACUUGUGUUAACCGUUUACUGUUUGUCCCUGUCUCUGCCUGAGUAACUCCCAGUAUGGGACAAAGCCAUUCCACGCCUCUGUCCCUGAAGCCUUUCUUGGUCCCUGCCUCCACUCCGACCCCUUCCCCCAAGAUCCUAUCACUCAAUCCUUCUGCUCCUCCCCCUUUUCCCUCCAUUCUCCUUGAGUCACAAGAUUGUAGAUCUUGGGGUUUUGAACGAACAGGAGCUGCAUGAUGAUCUUUGUGUGUCAUUUUGUCUGUGUCUCUGUUAAGUGUGAUGGCAUUGUUUUACUUUGGACCAAUGCAGAGUCCCAAAUUCCAAAUGGCCUUAGAUGUGUGGAAGUAACUUUAGCUAAAUUUUAACCUAAUGCUUCUCUUGUGAGUGACCAAAAGUCAAUAGAACUGCCAGCUUUUCUGUUCUCACCUUUAACACCUCUCUUAGCUGUGUUUUAAAGAACUUUGAUAAACUUUACCCCCCUUUGUUAAGCGAGAUUAGGGAAGCAGUGUUUUCUUUUCUUCCCGUAGUUGGCUUGAGCACGCCCACUGCAGAGGGAAAUGCCUGGGGUCUAAAAACUUUGAUAUCUCGCUUAAACUUUUCUCAAACUCAAAACAACUGCAAGCAGAAGAUGAACUUUUUGGGAAGCUGACUAC
Molecule: long non-coding RNA, 965 nt
Filed under: Marmota monax (woodchuck)
Lineage: Eukaryota; Metazoa; Chordata; Mammalia; Rodentia; Sciuridae
Source: RNAcentral